Molecule: unclassified non-coding RNA, 236 nt
Filed under: Hevea brasiliensis (rubber tree)
Lineage: Eukaryota; Viridiplantae; Streptophyta; Magnoliopsida; Malpighiales; Euphorbiaceae
Source: RNAcentral
GUGAGCUUGAUGAUUGCGCUACUGGGGGAUCGGAAUAACGUAAAUAGAGCUCACUAGUUGCGAAUAAGCAUACUUCGUCUGUGCGGAAACAAAUAAAACCGAUAUGCCGAGGAAAUCAGAUACUGGCUAGGAAUCGAGCUUUGAUGCUCAAAAAAAGUCGUUUCUGUCAAUUAUACAUAUCGAUCAUCUCAAUUCCUUGAAAUCGGUCGGUAGGUCUUUCCUCUAGUUAAAGAGUU